GAUGAACGCUAGCUACAGGCUUAACACAUGCAAGUCGAGGGGCAGCAUUUCAGUUUGCUUGCAAACUGAAGAUGGCGACCGGCGCACGGGUGAGUAACACGUAUCCAACCUGCCGAUAACUCUGGGAUAGCCUUUCGAAAGAAAGAUUAAUACCGGAUGGCAUAUGAUUAUCGCAUGAUAAUCCUAUUAAAGAAUUUCGGUUAUCGAUGGGGAUGCGUUCCAUUAGUUUGUUGGCGGGGUAACGGCCCACCAAGACUUCGAUGGAUAGGGGUUCUGAGAGGAAGGUCCCCCACAUUGGAACUGAGACACGGUCCAAACUCCUACGGGAGGCAGCAGUGAGGAAUAUUGGUCAAUGGACGAGAGUCUGAACCAGCCAAGUAGCGUGAAGGAUGACUGCCCUAUGGGUUGUAAACUUCUUUUAUACGGGAAUAAAGUUAUCCACGUGUGGAUUUUUGUAUGUACCGUAUGAAUAAGGAUCGGCUAACUCCGUG
RNAcentral lists this ribosomal RNA (491 nucleotides) under uncultured organism. RNAcentral describes it as "bacterial SSU rRNA". It matches the Rfam family "Bacterial small subunit ribosomal RNA", at positions 28 to 507 of the family's 1533-position model. The record is from RNAcentral.